AGGGAAUAGCUUGCUAUUUUGCUGACGAGUGGCGGACGGGUGAGUAAUGCUUGGGAAUAUGCCGAAACGUGGGGGACAACAGUUGGAAACGACUGCUAAUACCGUAUAAUGUCUACGGACCAAAGCAGGGGACCUUCGGGCCUUGCGCGUUUUGAUUAGCCCAAGUGGGAUUAGCUAGUUGGUAAGGUAAUGGCUUACCAAGGCGACGAUCCCUAGCUGGUCUUAGAGGAUGACCAGCCACACUGGAACUGAGACACGGUCCAGACUCC
Molecule: ribosomal RNA, 269 nt
Filed under: uncultured bacterium
Lineage: Bacteria
Description: partial 16S ribosomal RNA
Rfam family: Bacterial small subunit ribosomal RNA
Source: RNAcentral